UACGAAGUAGCUCAAUUGGCUAGAGCAUAGGGGUGUACACCGAUAAAACUUGAUCCUAGGUUGCAGGUUCGAAUCCUGUCUUCGUAG
Molecule: transfer RNA, 87 nt
Filed under: Limosilactobacillus reuteri
Lineage: Bacteria; Bacillati; Bacillota; Bacilli; Lactobacillales; Lactobacillaceae
Description: tRNA-OTHER
Rfam family: tRNA
About the family: Transfer RNA (tRNA) molecules are approximately 80 nucleotides in length.
Source: RNAcentral